RNAcentral lists this ribosomal RNA (1322 nucleotides) under uncultured Planctomycetota bacterium. Its description in RNAcentral is "bacterial SSU rRNA". It matches the Rfam family "Bacterial small subunit ribosomal RNA", at positions 8 to 1342 of the family's 1533-position model. Lineage: Bacteria; Pseudomonadati; Planctomycetota. The record is from RNAcentral.
AGAGUUUGAUCCUGGCUCAGAUUGAACGCUGGCGGCAUGGCUAAAACAUGCAAGUCGAACGCGAACGGGGCUUCGGCCCCUAGUAGAGUGGCGAAAGGGUGAGUAAUGCGUAUCUAACGUGCCCCAAGGUCAGGGAUAGCAUCGGGAAACCGUUGGUAAUACCUGAUGAUCCCGAUGGGACGUAUGUCUUGUCGGGCAAAGGCUUGCUGCCUUGGGAUCGGGAUACGUGGUAUCAGGUUGUUGGUGAGGUAAUGGCUCACCAAGCCGAAGACGCCUAGCGGGUGUGAGAGCACGACCCGCCACAUCGGGACUGAGACACUGCCCGGACUCCUACGGGAGGCUGCAGUAACGAAUAUUCCGCAAUGCGCGAAAGCGUGACGGAGCAAUGCCGCGUGCAGGAUGAAGCAUCUAGGUGUGUAAACUGCUGUCAGGGACUAGGAAUUUUGACCAAUCCCAGAGGAAGAACCGGCUAACUCGGUGCCAGCAGCCGCGGUAAUACCGAGGGUUCAAGCGUUAAUCGGAAUCACUGGGCUUAAAGGGUGCGCAGGCGGACAGGCAAGUAUCUUGUGAAAUCCCACGGCUCAACCGUGGAAUGGCUCGAUAGACUGCCUGUCUUGAACUCGACAGGGGCCGUCGGAAAUGUAGGUGGAGCGGUGAAAUGCGUAGAUAUCUACAGGAACGCCAAAGGCGAAGGCAGACGGCUGGGUCGACGUUGACGCUCAGGCACGAAAGCGUGGGUAGCGAACGGGAUUAGAUACCCCGGUAGUCCACGCCCUAAACGAUGUGUACUAGAUCGUGGAGGUUUUGACGCCAUCACGAUCGAAGCUAAAGUGUUAAGUACACCGCCUGGGGAGUACGGUCGCAAGGCUAAAACUCAAAGGAAUUGACGGGGGCUCACACAAGCGGUGGAGCAUGUGGCUUAAUUCGAAGCAACGCGAAGAACCUUAUCCAGGGUUUGACAUGUAUGGAUUAACUCCUUGAAAGAGGAGCCACGCCUUUUAGGUGGAACAUACACAGGUGCUGCAUGGCUGUCGUCAGCUCGUGCUGUGAAGCGUCGGGUUAAGUCCCUUAACGAGCGAAACCCCUGCCGUUAGUUGCUAACAGGUUAUGCUGAGGACUCUAGCGGGACUGCCGGUGUCAAACCGGAGGAAGGUGGGGAUGACGUCAAGUCCUCAUGGCCUUUAUGCCCUGGGCUGCACACGUGCUACAAUGCGUAGGACAAAGCGAAGCAAUACGGCAACGUGGAGCAAAUCGCAUAAACCUGCGCUCAGUUCGGAUUGUGGUCUGCAACUCGACCACAUGAAGCUGGAAUCGCUAGUAAU